UACGUAGGGGCCUAGCGUUGUCCGGAAUUACUGGGCGUAAAGAGCUCGUAGGUGGUUUGUCGCGUUGUUCGUGAAAACUCACAGCUCAACUGUGGGCGUGCGGGCGAUACGGGCAGACUAGAGUACUGCAGGGGAGACUGGAAUUCCUGGUGUAGCGGUGGAAUGCGCAGAUAUCAGGAGGAACACCGGUGGCGAAGGCGGGUCUCUGGGCAGUAACUGACGCUGAGGAGCGAAAGCGUGGGGAGCGAACAGG
This 253-nucleotide ribosomal RNA is filed under the name uncultured bacterium. RNAcentral describes it as "partial 16S ribosomal RNA". It matches the Rfam family "Bacterial small subunit ribosomal RNA", at positions 524 to 776 of the family's 1533-position model. The record is from RNAcentral.